RNAcentral lists this transfer RNA (70 nucleotides) under Dipodomys ordii (Ord's kangaroo rat). It matches the Rfam family "tRNA". From Rfam's summary of the family: Transfer RNA (tRNA) molecules are approximately 80 nucleotides in length. Their secondary structure includes four short double-helical elements and three loops (D, anti-codon, and T loops). Lineage: Eukaryota; Metazoa; Chordata; Mammalia; Rodentia; Heteromyidae. The record is from Rfam by way of RNAcentral.
GGGAAAGUGGCUCAGUGGUAGAGUGCUUGCCUUGCAUGCAUGAGGACCUGGGUUCGAUUCCUCAGUACCA